Molecule: non-coding RNA, 75 nt
Organism: Potamilus streckersoni
Lineage: Eukaryota; Metazoa; Mollusca; Bivalvia; Unionida; Unionidae
Source: the annotation of a GenBank genome assembly
GCUCCGGUGGCCGAGUGGUUAGAGCGUCCGCCUCGGAUGCGGGAGGUCGUGGGUUCUAUCUCCGGUCGAGUUACA